RNA transcript from Ictalurus punctatus (channel catfish), 2964 nucleotides. It is a transcript of the gene named myotubularin-related protein 2, with no coding region annotated. The record is from RefSeq and is a predicted model, not a curated record. The transcript has 15 exons. NCBI's taxonomy places the organism in Eukaryota, Metazoa, Chordata, Actinopteri, Siluriformes, Ictaluridae.
GUCACCACGAGCGCGAGAAGUCGAAGGUAGGAGCAGAAAGCGGUGUUAGUGUUAGUUCUGGCCCGUUUGGACCCAAACUAAAGUGUAUCAGUAUGAAGCAGGCGGUGACGGCGCACUGAUUCACUCUCGGAGCUCGGUUCACUAAUGACCGAAUCACCGAGGAACCGACCAAAGAUAACUCACACCCGCACGGAGAAGAAGAACAAGAGGAGGAGAAGAUGAGCUGGAGUGGGGCAAAGAGAACUGCAUUCAGAUCAAACGGAUACAAGAGAGGUGGCCGAGUUGUUUGAGGAUCUAAAGAAUUGAGUGUCACAAUUCAACAUGCACAUCAGCGAAACUUUUCCCUCUGACUACACCAGCACGCACGCACAGAAAUUCAUAGUGCAGGUGGCGAUUGCAGGCGCAUUUUAUCCGAACUGCUUCCUCCAGGGAACUGUGGACGAGGAGCUCGCCUCCAAGGAACUCUAUGGAAACGACCCCAGGACCACCGUAGUGUGUGUAAUCUCCCUCCAUUUGCAUUCCUCUACUAUAAACAGCUCCAGUCUCUCUUCAGACACUGUGGUUAAAUCAAAUCCAUCUCCUUUGACAGCUCCAGGGCCUAUGUAGAGUUCUACCGCUCGUCAAUGAGAGGUUCUGGCGUUCUCCCAGAGGUCUCUCUGUCUCUCCUCCUCACGCAGCAGAGACUUCCUCUCCAUCUCAACGUUUAACCCACUGGAGAGGUGGAGACUUGGGCAGGGGGGUAGUGUAUCUCACACCUCAGAUAUACACGGGUGAAUGUGGAUUUUCAGAAUCAGUCAGUGAGCCCUGUCGGGGUUCUGAGCAGCUCCGUUGAGUUGGAGAAUCUUCCGUCUAACCCUGUCUUUAUCGUCAAUAUCACCGAGGUGUCUGUUCCGCCUCUUUCACUUUCAGUGCACAAAUAAAAAAGAAGCAGUGGCUCCUGUGUGUGUGUGUGUGUGUGUGUGUGUGUGUGUGUGUGCGCACUAACAGGAGGUCCAGGUGCAGCCUUUGGAUAUUGAUGAAGAUUUACUGCCCCUGCAAGACCUUCCUCGACUGCGUAGUCUGGAGCAAAGGAUGCAACAGAGCCCAGAUUACAAGCAAAAUCUGGUAAACUGGUUGGCGCUUAUUGACGGGGUGUAUGUGCGUGACUGCACCUGGCGCAUAUUGAAGAGGGUGAUUGCUAACUCCCUGGCAAAGAAUCUCAAUUGGAGGGGAGUCGAUGGAAAGACUUCACUGUCCGCUCUCCAACUCGGAGAGGUCGUGAUUGCGUGUCGGCCUUGGAGAUGAGAAUCACGCCAACUCGGAACGAUCCCCUCUCUUUGUGCAGUUCAUCGACUGUGUGUGGCAGAUGAUGAGACAGGUGAAACCCAGGGCUCAAACCAAGAGAAGACAUUCAGAGCUAUUCAUUCUUUAAAGUCCAUUUAACAAGUUUCCUUCUGCUUCUGAGUUCAAAGAGCUUUUUCUCAUCCCCAUCCUGGAUCGCCCCUACAGCUGCCUGUUUGGUACAUUCCUCUACAGCAGUGAGCAGGAGAGAAUGGAAAAGGAAGUACAGGGUAAAACGGUCACUGUGGUCCUACGUUAACAGUCAGCCGGAGGACUUCACUAACCCGUUCUAUGUGGACUGUAAAAACCAGGUGCUGUAUCCACUGGCCAGUCUCGCACAUCUGGAGCUCUGGGUGGGUUAUUAUGUGCGCUGGAACCCACGCAUGAGACCACAGAUGCCGCUCCAUCAGAAUCUGAGAGAGUUAUUGUUUUUGCGUGAAGAACGUGGAGGAGCUCCAGAGAGAGGCCACGUCAUCCUGCUCCAUCUCCUCAUCCUCAGAGCAUACUUCUCCCUCCUCACAUAGUGCACACUUCCUUCCAUCCUACACAGGGUUGUGGGGAGCCUGGAGUCUAUCCCAGGGAACUCGGGGCACAAGGCAGGGGACACCCUGGACAGGGUGCCAACCCAUCACAGGGCACAAUCACUCGUGCACACACACACUGGACAAUUUUGGAGAUGCCAGUCCACCUACAACGGAUGUCUUUGGACUGGGGGAGGAAACCCCUGAAGCACAUUUGCAGGGACAUCGAGGAAAUUUAGUGAAACCCAGUCAGUGAUCUUAUUGGAUAAUUAGUCUCUAAUGAUUUGACCUUGUUUGUUACGCUGCUAAAUAUUUUCCAAAGGUAUGGAAGUGAUGUUAAGUCAGCAGACGUAUUGUGUGGGUUUGUGUUCUCUCUCCCUCCCCCUGUUUUUUUCUCACAGGUCGCUCUGCCCUAAUUCGUUGUGCUGACGUGCUGCAUGGGGAUUGGAGAGGAGAAGACUGUCCCUCUUUUAAAAAGGAGGACGAACAAUAUGUUGGGAGGAAUGCGGAUGUGUGGGGUUCUGUGUCUGCGUGUGUACGACUGAGUAGCGAAUGUUUUUCCUGGUGUUUGAGUGAAAUCGCUUGCUUGUUGUGUGUGUACGAGUGAAAGAAGUGAGUGGAAGUAUAUUGUGUUGUCCCAUUCCCCUGGUUUGUCUUGUGUUGUGGCUGAGUGUACGCCUGAAUUGUAAAUAUAUCUUUCAUUGUAAAUAUUUCUCUUCUUACUGUCAUGAAAGCUGUAGGGGUUGUGAGGCGUUUAUUUUUGGGCUCUACCUUUUGUUCGCUGUUUUUGCCUCAGUGAGGGAGUCAGGUUAGACUCUAUUUUCUUUUGACAUACCUUUUUUGUUAGGUUCGUUAAACUGAUACAGGGAAGAUAUUGACUCUUUUGUUUAUUACAUUGGCCUUGCCAGCCCUGAAGAGUGGUGCUUUCUGAGUGAUUCUGUUUGUUUUGCAUUAUUUUUCUUGUGAUCAUUAAAUUUGUAAGAUUUGAAAGACGUGAGGUAAUGAGAUAAUGAGGUGUUAACCUCAUUAAUUCUCAGUCUGAUUUGUUUUUGUUUAUACUUUUUUUUAUGUUACACCUCGACCCUAUACCGGGGUCGUAACAGUGAGUCAAAAAUAACUUCCA